This 479-nucleotide ribosomal RNA is filed under the name Chryseobacterium taklimakanense. RNAcentral's name for it is "bacterial SSU rRNA". It matches the Rfam family "Bacterial small subunit ribosomal RNA", at positions 27 to 506 of the family's 1533-position model. Lineage: Bacteria; Pseudomonadati; Bacteroidota; Flavobacteriia; Flavobacteriales; Weeksellaceae. The record is from RNAcentral.
GGAUGAACGCUAGCGGGAGGCCUAACACAUGCAAGCCGAGCGGUAGAGUUCCUUCGGGAACUUGAGAGCGGCGUACGGGUGAGGAACACGUGUGCAACCUGCCUUUAUCUGGGAGAUAGCCCUCCGAAAGGGGGAUUAAUAUUCCAUAAUAUAUCARUUGGCAUCAAUUGAUAUUGAAAGCUCCGGCGGAUAGAGAUGGGCACGCGCAAGAUUAGAUAGUUGGUGAGGUAACGGCUCACCAAGUCURCGAUCUUUAGGGGGCCUGAGAGGGUGAUCCCCCACACUGGUACUGAGACACGGACCAGACUCCUACGGGAGGCAGCAGUGAGGAAUAUUGGACAAUGGGUGCAAGCCUGAUCCAGCCAUCCCGCGUGAAGGAUUAAGGUCCUAUGGAUUGUAAACUUCUUUUAUACAGGGAUAAACCUACUUACGUGUAAGUAGCUGAAGGUACUGUAUGAAUAAGCACCGGCUAACUCCGU